This 470-nucleotide ribosomal RNA is filed under the name uncultured Alkalibacterium sp. Its description in RNAcentral is "bacterial SSU rRNA". It matches the Rfam family "Bacterial small subunit ribosomal RNA", at positions 8 to 466 of the family's 1533-position model. Lineage: Bacteria; Bacillati; Bacillota; Bacilli; Lactobacillales; Carnobacteriaceae. The record is from RNAcentral.
AGGCUUUGAUCCUGGCUCAGGACGAACGCUGGCGGCAUGCCUAAUACAUGCAAGUCGAACGCCGACGCACUCUGCUUGCAGAGUGUUGAGGAGUGGCGAACGGGUGAGUAACACGUGGAGAACCUGCCCAUAAGAGGGGGAUAACAUCCGGAAACGGGUGCUAAUACCGCAUAGGUGGCUGGAGCGCAUGCUCUAGUCAUGAAAGACGGCUUCGGCUGUCGCUUAUGGAUGGCUCCGCGGCGUAUUAGCUAGUUGGUGAGGUAAUGGCUCACCAAGGCAGUGAUACGUAGCCGACCUGAGAGGGUGAUCGGCCACACUGGGACUGAGACACGGCCCAGACUCCUACGGGAGGCAGCAGUGGGGAAUCUUAGACAAUGGGGGCAACCCUGAUCUAGCCAUGCCGCGUGAGCGAUGAAGGCCUUAGGGUUGUAAAGCUCUUUCGCUGGGGAAGAUAAUGACGGUACCCUAGU